This 253-nucleotide ribosomal RNA is filed under the name uncultured bacterium. RNAcentral's name for it is "partial 16S ribosomal RNA". It matches the Rfam family "Bacterial small subunit ribosomal RNA", at positions 524 to 776 of the family's 1533-position model. The record is from RNAcentral.
UACAGGGGGGGCAAGCGUUGUUCGGAAUUACUGGGCGUAAAGGGCUCGUAGGUGGCCAACUAAGUCAGACGUGAAAUCCCUCGGCUUAACCGGGGAACUGCGUCUGAUACUGGAUGGCUUGAGGUUGGGAGAGGGAUGCGGAAUUCCAGGUGUAGCGGUGAAAUGCGUAGAUAUCUGGAGGAACACCGGUGGCGAAGGCGGCAUCCUGGACCAAUUCUGACACUGAGGAGCGAAAGCCAGGGGAGCAAACGGG